RNAcentral lists this non-coding RNA (219 nucleotides) under Acetobacter orleanensis. The record is from RNAcentral. Lineage: Bacteria; Pseudomonadati; Pseudomonadota; Alphaproteobacteria; Acetobacterales; Acetobacteraceae.
CUGUGAAGCAAGUGUGAUGGGGUCUUUCUACGGGAAGACUGAAAAGGGAACCGUGUGCGAACCUUGUGUUCAAAGCACGGGCUGCCCCCGCAACUGUAAGCGGUGAGUGCCUGCGUUGGGCGCCCUGAAAAGGGCGGGUCACUGGCUGGUAAGCUGGGAAGACAGACGCAGGCAUGAUGAUCCGCAAGCCAGGAAACCUGCCAUCCGCAAAGCGUGACU